Molecule: non-coding RNA, 75 nt
Organism: Ameiurus melas (black bullhead)
Lineage: Eukaryota; Metazoa; Chordata; Actinopteri; Siluriformes; Ictaluridae
Source: the annotation of a GenBank genome assembly
UGAGUGAUAGCUCGUUGGUUAGGGCAUUGGUCUUCUGAUCGGAAGGUCAUGAGUUCAAAUCCCAGUACCGCCUAG